Molecule: long non-coding RNA, 204 nt
Filed under: Selaginella moellendorffii
Lineage: Eukaryota; Viridiplantae; Streptophyta; Lycopodiopsida; Selaginellales; Selaginellaceae
Description: long non-coding RNA (SMOE_LNC001176)
Source: RNAcentral
UUCCAAUUGGUUAAGGGUUUUAGGAUAUUUAGGGUUAAGCGUCCUUGGGUUUGAAUAGUACUAGGUUGGGUGACCUAAGUCCAAACUCAGGAACUUACACCUAGCUUAUAUAUAAGACCGAUUUAAGCAACCAAAGAUAACAACUUGAGAGAUAAAGAUAACAACUUGAGAGAUAAUCUAUAGGUUUCAAAUAUAAGGGGAAAG